GGGUGUUAGCUGCAUACCGCAGCGGGACAGGCUUUUCGCGCUGGUCGGGCCGCCACG
RNAcentral lists this non-coding RNA (57 nucleotides) under Paraburkholderia tropica. Its description in RNAcentral is "Li+-I sequence". It matches the Rfam family "nhaA-I RNA". From Rfam's summary of the family: Acidobacteria, Alphaproteobacteria, Betaproteobacteria and Gammaproteobacteria, Verrucomicrobia, cand. division NC10. Lineage: Bacteria; Pseudomonadati; Pseudomonadota; Betaproteobacteria; Burkholderiales; Burkholderiaceae. The record is from Rfam by way of RNAcentral.